Monodelphis domestica (gray short-tailed opossum) is the source of this 323-nucleotide long non-coding RNA. RefSeq lists it as uncharacterized. The record is from RefSeq and is a predicted model, not a curated record. NCBI's taxonomy places the organism in Eukaryota, Metazoa, Chordata, Mammalia, Didelphimorphia, Didelphidae.
UUUGUCAGAGAGAUGGCUGGUGGCAGAAUGCUGAGUGUCAUGGUAUCUUGAUGUGGCUGCAGCUUUUGUCUGGGUUUGGUGCUAAGCAUCCUUGAUACAAUACUGGGAAGCUUAGUACCCUAGUUCAGUAUCAACUUUCAGACAGAAGAGCAAGGGCUAGGCAAAUAGGCACUGUGAUAAAUUCUGAAUUCAAGAGAAAUAUUCAAGUCAUGAGAAUGUCAUUCAUAAUGGAGAAGAUUAAAUCAACAUUUUGCACCCCAUAAGUGUUACUAAUUCCUUAAUGUGACUUCAGCCAUGGCAUAGAAGAAUGAAGAGAGAUUGAA